GCGGAUGUAGUUCAAUGGUAGAACUCCUGCCUUCCAAGCAGAAAGUGCGGGUUCGAUUCCCGUCAUCCGCUCCA
This 74-nucleotide transfer RNA is filed under the name Tongtianella jiaweipingae. Its description in RNAcentral is "Actinomyces sp. zg-332 tRNA-Gly". It matches the Rfam family "tRNA". Rfam says of the family: Transfer RNA (tRNA) molecules are approximately 80 nucleotides in length. Lineage: Bacteria; Bacillati; Actinomycetota; Actinomycetes; Actinomycetales; Actinomycetaceae. The record is from RNAcentral.